GACGAGGGAUCCUAGCGUUGUUCGGAAUCAUUGGGCGUAAAGCGGGUGUAGGCGGACUUAUAAGUCAGGUGUGAAAUCCCAGGGCUCAACCCUGGAAGUGCAUUUGAUACUGUAAGUCUUGAGUGUGGUAGAGGUUACUGGAAUUCCUGGUGUAGUGGUGAAAUACGUAGAUAUCAGGAGGAAUACCGGAGGCGAAGGCGGGUAACUGGGCCAACACUGACGCUGAGAUCCGAAAGCGUGGGGAUCAAACAGG
This 253-nucleotide ribosomal RNA is filed under the name uncultured bacterium. RNAcentral's name for it is "partial 16S ribosomal RNA". It matches the Rfam family "Bacterial small subunit ribosomal RNA", at positions 524 to 776 of the family's 1533-position model. The record is from RNAcentral.